GACGAACGCUGGCGGCGUGCUUAACACAUGCAAGUCGAACGAUGAAGCCGGAGCUUGCUCUGGUGAAUUAGUGGCGAACGGGUGAGUAACACGUGAGUAACCUGCCCUUGACUCUGGGAUAACUGCUAGAAAUGGUAGCUAAUACCGGAUACGACCCUCGGCGGCAUCGCCAGGGGGUGGAAAGAAUUUCGGUCAAGGAUGGACUCGCGGCCUAUCAGCUAGUUGGUGAGGUAACGGCUCACCAAGGCGACGACGGGUAGCCGGCCUGAGAGGGUGACCGGCCACACUGGGACCGAGACACGGCCCAGACUCCUACGGGAGGCAGCUGUGGGGAAUAUUGCACAAUGGGCGCAAGCCUGAUGCAGCAACGCCGCGUGAGGGAUGACGGCCUUCGGGUUGUAAACCUCUUUUAGUAGGGAAGAAGCGAAAGUGACGGUACCUGCAGAAAAAGCACCGGCUAACUACGUGCCAGCCGCCGCGGUAA
Molecule: ribosomal RNA, 484 nt
Filed under: uncultured bacterium
Lineage: Bacteria
Description: partial 16S ribosomal RNA
Rfam family: Bacterial small subunit ribosomal RNA
Source: RNAcentral